CACAAUUUAGGCUGUAGGAAAUUUUAGGAGAUUUUAGGUACCUAGCAAAUAGAUUGUAGAAGUUUAUUCCUUAAAUAAAUGUUUCUAAAUAUUUUCCAGUUGUCCUGUUUCCUCAUUUGACAGUUCCUCUUCCUGUGCCCAAGGCUGGGGGGUACUUCAGGGAGAUCUCAUUUCUCUGACCUGGUCCAAGCAAUGAGGGGAGCACACGGCAGGAGCGGGGAGGUACAGGCUGUGAGCAGGAGCUGCCUCAAGUGCCCGAUCCCCUUCCUUCUCUCUGCCUGUCCUCUCUGGGUGGAUGCCACUGUGGCAAUGAGCCAUUCAGCUUGUGGGGAUCCCUGGGGGUCACGGAGGUGAAUUUGACUGUCCUGCGAGCAGCAUGUGUCUGUCAGCAGCACUGCCCUUCUGCUCAGCAACCUGAGCCAUGCUGAGCCUCUUGCCAGGGAGCAGC
RNAcentral lists this long non-coding RNA (448 nucleotides) under Coturnix japonica (Japanese quail). Its description in RNAcentral is "lncRNA (ENSCJPG00005016869.1)". Lineage: Eukaryota; Metazoa; Chordata; Aves; Galliformes; Phasianidae. The record is from RNAcentral.